UCUCCGUUGGUGAACCAGCGGAGGGAUCAUUACUGAGUUUACGCUCUAUAACCCUUUGUGAACAUACCUAUAACUGUUGCUUCGGCGGGUCGGGCUGAUGCUUGGGAUGGCUACUCUGUAGCUACCCUGCAGAUGCCGCCGCCGGUGGGAUUUUAAACUAUUGUCAUGUAUUGUCAUCUGAGAGCCUUAUGAAAAUAAGUCAAAACCUUUAACAACGGAUCUCUUGGUUCUGGCAUCGAUGAAGAACGCAGC
RNAcentral lists this unclassified non-coding RNA (252 nucleotides) under uncultured fungus. RNAcentral describes it as "sequence contains ITS1, 5.8S rRNA gene". The stretch from base 204 to 252 matches the Rfam family "5.8S ribosomal RNA", at positions 1 to 49 of the family's 154-position model. The record is from RNAcentral. Lineage: Eukaryota; Fungi.